UUUUGGACAAUGGCGCAAGCCUGAUCCAGCCAUUCCGCGUGAGUGAAGAAGGCCUUCGGGUUGUAAAGCUCUUUCGCAAGGCAACAAAGAUUACUCUCUAAUAUAGAGUGAUUAUGACGGUACCUUGAUAAGAAGCACCGGCUAACUACGUGCCAGCAGCCGCGGUAAUACGUAGGGUGCGAGCGUUAAUCGGAAUUACUGGGCGUAAAGCGUGCGCAGGCGGUUUUGUAAGUCAGAUGUGAAAUCCCCGAGCUCAACUUGGGAACUGCGUUUGAAACUACAAGACUAGAAUAGGUCAGAGGGGGGUAGAAUUCCACGUGUAGCAGUGAAAUGCGUAGAGAUGUGGAGGAAUAUCAAUGGCGAAGGCAGCCCCCUGGGAUCAUAUUGACGCUCAUGCACGAGG
This 403-nucleotide ribosomal RNA is filed under the name uncultured bacterium. RNAcentral describes it as "bacterial SSU rRNA". It matches the Rfam family "Bacterial small subunit ribosomal RNA", at positions 362 to 758 of the family's 1533-position model. The record is from RNAcentral.